This 659-nucleotide long non-coding RNA is filed under the name Homo sapiens (human). RNAcentral's name for it is "HSALNT0348694". Lineage: Eukaryota; Metazoa; Chordata; Mammalia; Primates; Hominidae. The record is from RNAcentral.
GUUGGCAUCAGAUCCCUCACGUUUAAGGGCUCAGCUCCACAAGACUACCCCCUUCACAUGCCAGCAGCAAAUAUGGGGCCCAAGUUACCCACAUUUCUGCCCAGCUGACUACAAAUUCUGGUUUCCAUGACCCCCUCUCAGGUUUGAUAGUUUGCUAGAACAACUCACAAAGUGAAGGAAAAUGGUGUACUUACUAUUACUGGCUUAUUAUAAAGGCUACAACUCAGAAACAGCCAAACGGAGGAGAUGCACAGAGCAAGGUGACCAGUCCGCAUCCUGAUACUAUCUCGGAGUCCCCCAGCCAAGAAUCAUCUCAUCAGCAUAAACUCAGGCAAUGUUGAAAGGCAUUCAGAAUGGUACUGGCCAUGUAACAUCCUCAGGAAAAUGGAGAAAGGAGUCACAUCAUCUUCUGUGUUUGGAGACUGCUAUGUAAGCCAGAAUACUAGUCACACAGUGCAGUACUGGUUUUGGCUGAGGUAACCUCCUCUCAGUAAAGAACCUGCACAUCAAGGGAGGUAAGAGGUUAAAGCGCCACCCAACCUGCUGCCAUUGGCCAGGAUGGACAAAUCAGUUGGCAGCUGCACUCACCUUCCUUCCACCUUCUAUCACACCCUACUGGUUUGUAUUUCUCUGUUUUCACAUUGCUAUAAAGAAAUACC